AGAGUUUGAUUCUGGCUCAGAACGAACGCUGGCGGCGUGCCUAACACAUGCAAGUCGAGCGAGAAAGUUCCCUUCGGGGAGCGAGUACAGCGGCGAACGGGUGAGUAACACGUGAGUAAUCUGCCCUUGGGUCCGGGAUAACAUCUCGAAAGGGGUGCUAAUACCGGGUAGGACCACGGAGCCACAUGGCUCUGAGGUGAAAGAUGGCCUCUCCUUGGAAGCUGUCGCCUGGGGAUGGGCUCGCGCACCAUUAGCUUGUUGGUGGGGUCAUGGCCUACCAAGGCGACGAUGGUUAGCCGACCUGAGAGGGUGAUCGGCCACACUGGAACUGAGACACGGUCCAGACUCCUACGGGAGGCAGCAGUGGGGAAUAUUGCGCAAUGGGGGAAACCCUGACGCAGCAACGCCGUGUGAGCGAUGAAGGCCUUCGGGUUGUAAAGCUCUGUCAGGAGGGACGAAAUGCUCCGGUCGAAUACACCGGAGAGCUGACGUACUC
This 496-nucleotide ribosomal RNA is filed under the name uncultured bacterium. RNAcentral's name for it is "bacterial SSU rRNA". It matches the Rfam family "Bacterial small subunit ribosomal RNA", at positions 8 to 479 of the family's 1533-position model. The record is from RNAcentral.